CCUACGGGGGGCAGCAGUGAGGAAUAUUGGUCAAUGGUCGGGAGACUGAACCAGCCAAGCCGCGUGAGGGAGGAAGGUACAGAGUAUCGUAAACCUCUUUUGUCAGGGAACAAAGGCGGGGACGUUUCCCCGUAUGAGUGUACCUGAAGAAAAAGCAUCGGCUAACUCCGUGCCAGCAGCCGCGGUAAUACGGAGGAUGCGAGCGUUGUCCGGAUUUAUGGGGUUAAAAGGGUGCGUGGGCGGUCUGUUAAGUCAGUGGUAAAAGCCCGGGGCUCAACCCCGGCCCGCCGUUGAAACUGGCAGUCUCGAGUUGGAGAGAAGUAUGCGGAAUGCGCGGUGUAGCGGUGAAAUGCAUAGAUAUCGCGCAGAACUCCGAUUGCGAAGGCAGCAUGCCGGCUCCACACUGACGCUGAGGCACGAAAGCGUGGGUAUCGAACAGGAUUAGAUACCCCUGUAGUC
RNAcentral lists this ribosomal RNA (459 nucleotides) under uncultured bacterium. RNAcentral describes it as "partial 16S ribosomal RNA". It matches the Rfam family "Bacterial small subunit ribosomal RNA", at positions 338 to 795 of the family's 1533-position model. The record is from RNAcentral.